GGUGGAGUGGGUGAGUGGCUGAAACCAACGGUUUGCUAAAUCGUCGUACUUGGAAACAGGUACCGGGGGUUCGAAUCCCUCCUCCACCG
This 89-nucleotide transfer RNA is filed under the name Saprospiraceae bacterium. Its description in RNAcentral is "tRNA-Ser". It matches the Rfam family "tRNA". Rfam says of the family: Transfer RNA (tRNA) molecules are approximately 80 nucleotides in length. Lineage: Bacteria; Pseudomonadati; Bacteroidota; Saprospiria; Saprospirales; Saprospiraceae. The record is from RNAcentral.